This 400-nucleotide ribosomal RNA is filed under the name uncultured bacterium. Its description in RNAcentral is "bacterial SSU rRNA". It matches the Rfam family "Bacterial small subunit ribosomal RNA", at positions 355 to 769 of the family's 1533-position model. The record is from RNAcentral.
UGGGGAAUUUUCCGCAAUGGGCGAAAGCCUGACGGAGCAAUACCGCGUGAGGGAGGAAGGCUCUUGGGUUGUAAACCUCUUUUCUGAAGGAAGAAGUUCUGACGGUACUUCAGGAAGAAGCAUCGGCUAACUCCGUGCCAGCAGCCGCGGUAAUACGGAGGAUGCAAGCGUUAUCCGGAAUCAUUGGGCGUAAAGGGUCCGCAGGUGGUCAAGCAAGUCUGCUGUUAAAGAAUGAGGCUUAACCUCAUCAAAGCAGUGGAAACUGCUGAGACUAGAGUACGGUAGGGGUAGAGGGAAUUCCCAGUGUAGCGGUGAAAUGCGUAGAGAUUGGGAAGAACACCAGUGGCGAAAGCGCUCUACUGGGCCUGUACUGACACUGAGGGACGAAAGCUAGGGGAGC